This is a long non-coding RNA of Uranotaenia lowii, 390 nucleotides long. RefSeq lists it as uncharacterized. NCBI's taxonomy places the organism in Eukaryota, Metazoa, Arthropoda, Insecta, Diptera, Culicidae. The transcript is spliced from 3 exons. The record is from RefSeq and is a predicted model, not a curated record.
CUUUGAAGCAUGUCGCGGUGCGUUUUGUUUGGUUGUGGGAUGAAAGUCUAGAAAAGUGAAAUCUUUUUAAGUUUCCACAGUUUCUCUCAGGAACCUAGCCGAUGGGCGAUUUGGUUAGAAUCCUGUGGAAUGAUGCAAGACCGCGGUCCGAAGAUUAUGACUCAAAUUAUUUUACCCGCGAAGCGUUCAUCACCAAUGCCAAAUUGAAGUAGGAACUGCUUCAUACUGGUCGGAAUAAUUUAGAGAAAGAUACGAUAACAACAAUUCGUAAUCCAUCUGAAGGACAUGACAUGGAGACUAAAGUAAUCACGAACACUUCUAUGUUGAAUCUGAAUGAAUUCUCAAGUCCGGUAGCGUACCUUUUGAUAACCUGAAAGAAAGAAAUUUUAG